Symphalangus syndactylus (siamang) is the source of this 327-nucleotide long non-coding RNA. RefSeq lists it as uncharacterized. Lineage: Eukaryota; Metazoa; Chordata; Mammalia; Primates; Hylobatidae. The record is from RefSeq and is a predicted model, not a curated record.
GAGAGAGAGAGAGAGAUUCCUACAGAAUACAAGACAAGACUAUCACAAUGAGCUGAAAUGUUGGGUCUGUGAAAGUAAUGAGAAGCACAGUGGGGAUAAGUUUCUGAAGGAUGGAAGAGGCUGGAGGCUGUCUAGUGGGAGAAAGUUCCCAGACACGUGAGAGACCCAGCAACAGUAUGUAGGUAUUAAGAGAUGGAAACUUUGGGAGGUGACUAGAUCAUGAGGGUGGAGCCUUCGUGAACAGGACCAGUGCCCUUAUGAAAGAAGCCUGAGGGAGUUCAACUCACCCCUUUCUAUGAUGUGAGGAUGCAGCAAGAAGAUGUUGUC